Molecule: ribosomal RNA, 465 nt
Filed under: uncultured ciliate
Lineage: Eukaryota; Ciliophora
Description: SSU rRNA
Rfam family: Eukaryotic small subunit ribosomal RNA
Source: RNAcentral
AUUUGUCUGGUUAAUUUCGAUAACGAACGAGACCUUAACCUGCUAACUAGAUUCUUUCAUCUUAUGAUUGUUAUCUUCUUAGAGGGACUAUGUAACAUAAAUACAUGGAAGUUUGAGGCAAUAACAGGUCAGUGAUGCCCUUAUAUGUCCUGGGCUGCACGCGUGCUACACUGAUGUAUACAGCAAGUGCCGAGCCAGACAUGGCAUGGCAAUCUCGAAUAUGCAUCGUGAUGGGGAUAGAUCUUUGCAAUUAUAGAUCUUGAACGAGGAAUUCCUAGUAAGUGCAAGUCAUCAUCUUGCAUUGAUUAUGUCCCUGCCCUUUGUACACACCGCCCGUCGCUCCUACCGAUACCGGGUGAUCCGGUGAACCUUUUGGACCCGCAUGGGGAAGAUAAGUAAACCAUAUCACCUAGAGGAAGGAGAAGUCGUAACAAGGUUUCCGUAGGUGAACCUGCRGAAGGAUCA